UGGGGAAUUUUGGACAAUGGGGGAAACCCUGAUCCAGCCAUCCCGCGUGUGCGAUGAAGGCCUUCGGGUUGUAAAGCACUUUUGGCAGGAAAGAAACGUCAUGGGUUAAUACCCCGUGAAACUGACGGUACCUGCAGAAUAAGCACCGGCUAACUACGUGCCAGCAGCCGCGGUGAUACGUAGGGUGCAAGCGUUAAUCGGAAUUACUGGGCGUAAAGCGUGCGCAGGCGGUUCGGAUAGAAAGAUGUGAAAUCCCAGAGCUCAACUUUGGAACUGCAUUUUUAACUACCGGGCUAGAGUGUGUCAGAGGGAGGUGGAAUUCCGCGUGUAGCAGUGAAAUGCGUAGAUAUGCGGAGGAACACCGAUGGCGAAGGCAGCCUCCUGGGAUAACACUGACGCUCAUGCACGAAAGCGUGGGGAGCAAACAGG
This 429-nucleotide ribosomal RNA is filed under the name Acidobacteriota bacterium. RNAcentral describes it as "Acidobacteria bacterium partial 16S ribosomal RNA". It matches the Rfam family "Bacterial small subunit ribosomal RNA", at positions 355 to 776 of the family's 1533-position model. Lineage: Bacteria; Pseudomonadati; Acidobacteriota. The record is from RNAcentral.